AUGAACGCUGGCGGCGUGCUUAACACAUGCAAGUCGAACGGAACUUGGUUGAUAGAGGAUUCGUCCAAUUGACAUCAAGUUUAGUGGCGGACGGGUGAGUAACGCGUGAGCAACCUGCCUUUCAGUGGGGGACAACAGUUGGAAACGACUGCUAAUACCGCAUAACGUAUUUUUAGGACAUCCUAUAGAUACCAAAGGAGCAAUCCGCUGAAUGAUGGACUCGCGUCUGAUUAGAUAGUUGGUGAGGUAACGGCCCACCAAGGCGACGAUCAGUAGCCGGUCUGAGAGGAUGAACGGCCACAUUGGGACUGAGAUACGGCCCAGACUCCUACGGGAGGCAGCAGUGGGGAAUAUUGCACAAUGGGCGCAAGCCUGAUGCAGCGAUGCCGCGUGAGGGAAGAAGGUUUUCGGAUUGUAAACCUCUGUCUUCAGGGACGAUAAUGACGGUACCUGAGGAGGAAGCUCCGGCUAACUACGUG
Molecule: ribosomal RNA, 479 nt
Filed under: uncultured bacterium
Lineage: Bacteria
Description: bacterial SSU rRNA
Rfam family: Bacterial small subunit ribosomal RNA
Source: RNAcentral